UAAUGCUGGUGCCGUGACGGUUCCCCGCGCCCGGAGCGGCAAGGGGAUCAAAAGGGAACACGGUGCGACGUACCCAUCAGGGCGCAAAUCCGUGGCUGCCCCCGCAACUGUAAGCGGUGGGCGCUCUCAUGACGCCACUGCACGACAGGCAUCGAUCCGAAAAGCGCCCUGCGGUUUUCGGAUAAGGCGAUGCCCGGAUCUGCGGGAAGGCGAGGGCGCUGCAUUCACCGUGAGCCAGGAGACCUGCCGGCACAUGAGGGUAAUU
This 265-nucleotide non-coding RNA is filed under the name Pelagibacterium sp. The record is from RNAcentral. Lineage: Bacteria; Pseudomonadati; Pseudomonadota; Alphaproteobacteria; Hyphomicrobiales; Devosiaceae.